This 466-nucleotide ribosomal RNA is filed under the name uncultured Syntrophorhabdus sp. Its description in RNAcentral is "bacterial SSU rRNA". It matches the Rfam family "Bacterial small subunit ribosomal RNA", at positions 338 to 795 of the family's 1533-position model. Lineage: Bacteria; Pseudomonadati; Thermodesulfobacteriota; Syntrophorhabdia; Syntrophorhabdales; Syntrophorhabdaceae. The record is from RNAcentral.
CCUACGGGGGGCAGCAGUGGGGAAUAUUGGGCAAUGGGCGAAAGCCUGACCCAGCGACGCCGCGUGGGUGAUGAAGGCCUUCGGGUUGUAAAGCCCUGUCAUGCGGAAAGAACGACCCUGAGACGCAUACUCUCAGGGAGUGACGGUACCGCAGGAGGAAGCACCGGCUAACUCCGUGCCAGCAGCCGCGGUAAUACGGAGGGUGCAAGCGUUGUUCGGAAUUAUUGGGCGUAAAGGGCGCGUAGGCGGUAAUGUAAGUCAGAUGUGAAAUACUCCGGCUCAACCAGAGAACAGCAUCUGAAACUGCAUAACUAGAGUACAGAAGAGGGAAACGGAAUUCCCGGUGUAGAGGUGAAAUUCGUAGAUAUCGGGAGGAACACCAGUGGCGAAGGCGGUUUCCUGGUCUGAUACUGACGCUGAGGCGCGAAAGCGUGGGGAGCAAACAGGAUUAGAUACCCGUGUAGUC